RNAcentral lists this ribosomal RNA (664 nucleotides) under Citrobacter koseri. RNAcentral describes it as "partial 23S ribosomal RNA". It matches the Rfam family "Bacterial large subunit ribosomal RNA", at positions 2259 to 2917 of the family's 2925-position model. The record is from RNAcentral. Lineage: Bacteria; Pseudomonadati; Pseudomonadota; Gammaproteobacteria; Enterobacterales; Enterobacteriaceae.
UGGUGGGUAGUUUGACUGGGGCGGUCUCCUCCUAAAGAGUAACGGAGGAGCACGAAGGUCAGCUAAUCCUGGUCGGACAUCAGGAGGUUAGUGCAAUGGCAUAAGCUGGCUUGACUGCGAGCGUGACGGCGCGAGCAGGUGCGAAAGCAGGUCAUAGUGAUCCGGUGGUUCUGAAUGGAAGGGCCAUCGCUCAACGGAUAAAAGGUACUCCGGGGAUAACAGGCUGAUACCGCCCAAGAGUUCAUAUCGACGGCGGUGUUUGGCACCUCGAUGUCGGCUCAUCACAUCCUGGGGCUGAAGUAGGUCCCAAGGGUAUGGCUGUUCGCCAUUUAAAGUGGUACGCGAGCUGGGUUUAGAACGUCGUGAGACAGUUCGGUCCCUAUCUGCCGUGGGCGCUGGAGAACUGAGGGGGGCUGCUCCUAGUACGAGAGGACCGGAGUGGACGCAUCACUGGUGUUCGGGUUGUCAUGCCAAUGGCACUGCCCGGUAGCUAAAUGCGGAAGAGAUAAGUGCUGAAAGCAUCUAAGCACGAAACUUGCCCCGAGAUGAGUUCUCCCUGACUCCUUGAGAGUCCUGAAGGAACGUUGAAGACGACGACGUUGAUAGGCCGGGUGUGUAAGCGCAGCGAUGCGUUGAGCUAACCGGUACUAAUGAACCGUGAGGC